UGGCUGUCUUCACCUCUUGUGGGGAGAUGUUGGGUUAAAUCCCCCACCAAGCGCACCCCUUGUCCUUAUUUGCCACCACAUAAUGGUGGGAACUCUCAGGAGACUGCCGGUGACAAACCGGAGAAAGGGGGGGAUAACAUCAAGUCAUCAUGGCCCUUACGGCCAGGGCUACACACGUACUACAAUGGUCGGUACAGAGGGUUGCUAUACCGCGAGGGGGAGCCAAUCCCAAAAAACCCAUCCCAUUCCGGAUUGGAGUCUGCAACUCCCCUCCAUGAAAACGGAAUCUCUAUUAAUCGCGGAUCACCAUGCCGCGGUGAAUACCUUCCCGGGUCUUGUACACACCG
Molecule: ribosomal RNA, 347 nt
Filed under: uncultured bacterium
Lineage: Bacteria
Description: partial 16S ribosomal RNA
Rfam family: Bacterial small subunit ribosomal RNA
Source: RNAcentral